Molecule: ribosomal RNA, 1992 nt
Filed under: Triticum aestivum (bread wheat)
Lineage: Eukaryota; Viridiplantae; Streptophyta; Magnoliopsida; Poales; Poaceae
Description: partial small subunit ribosomal RNA
Source: RNAcentral
AUGGAAGUGUUGAGAAAAUUUGUGCAAAGUGAGCUGCGCAAUCCUCCCACAACCCUCGCGCCUAGCGCUUUUGUGUCGUCCGCCGCCGAGGCAACCCGCCGACUCCUCCUCAGCGCCGUCAGCUCCAGCGACCGCCUCCCACCCCUCACCGUCAAACUGCUCCACGGCCGCCUCCUCCGGCUUGACAUCCUCGCCGACCUUUACACGUACCUCCUUCGCGCGCUCUCCUCCUCCGGCCUCCACCUCCAUGUCCUCUGCCUAUACUCCCUCCUUCCCAACCCCUCCCACCUGGCCUUGCCGGUAGCCCUCAAGUCCGCCUCCCGCCUCCGCAACCCUCUCAGAGUCGGCGAGCAGCUGCACGCGCGCUCCCUCAAGCUCCCUUCCGACUCCACCCCCCGCAUUCUCACGUCCCUGCUAAAUCUGUACGCUAAAUGUGGGCUUUUGCAACACGCACGGAGCGUGCUCGAAGAAAUGCCCUGCCCCAGCACAGUCUCUUGGACCGCACUCAUCGCCGCGUAUAUGCACGCGGGGCGUGCCAGGGAAGCUGUUGCCGUUGCGAGGGAUGCGUUCGCUAGUGGAAUGCGUCCGGACAGCUUCAUGGCUGCGCAGGUCCUGACCGCGUGCGCCCGGGUCGCCGAUUUGGGCACCGGGGAGGCAGUGUGGAGGACUGCAGAGCGGGAGGGGAUAGCGAGCAGUGUGUUUGUGGCAACUGCAGCGGUGGAUUUGUAUGUCAAGUGCGGUGAGAUGGCCAAGGCAAGGGAGGUGUUUGACAGGAUGCCGGAGAAGGAUGUAGUGGCUUGGGGUGCUAUGGUUAGCGGAUACGCUUCCAACGGGCAUACGCAAGAGGCUCUGCAGCUCUUCUUUGCAAUGCAGGCUCAGGGAGUGAGACCAAAUUGCAGGACAGUAGCUGGUGCACUCUCAGCGUGCACGCAGUUGGGUGCAUUUGAUUUGGCACAGCAGGUUGUUGCUGUGGUGGACUGGGAUCAGCUUCUUGACAACCCAGUUCUAGGGACUGCGUUGAUCGAAAUGUACUCCAAGUUUGGGAGCAUGGGCGAGGCAUGGUUCGUGUUCCAGCAGAUGAGAAGGAGGGGCAUUACUGUUUGGAACGCAAUGGUUUUGGGGCUCAGCAUGACUGGACAUGAUAAGUCUGUGUUUGCCCUUGUCGGUAAAAUGGAGAAGUCGGGCAUGAAAUUGAAUGACAUAACUUUCAUGAGCCUUCUCUACUGCUGUACUCAUGCCGGCCUUGUACAAGAUGGACGCCGCUACUUCCAUAACAUGACUCAGUUAUACCGCAUUGCUCCUAGGAUUGAGCACUACGGUUGUAUGGUUGACCUUCUCAGUCGCGCUGGGUUGCUCAAGGAGGCUCAUCGGCUUAUUAAUGAAAUGCCAAUGCAGGCAAAUGUUGCCGUCUGGGGUGCACUUCUUGGUGGCUGCAAGAUUCACCGAGACGCAGAGCUUGCAGAACAUGCCUUGAAACAGCUCAUUCUGCUAGAGCCAUGGAACUCUGGGAACUAUUUCAUGCUCUCCAACAUAUACUCUAAUGGCGGCAGAUGGAAGGAUGAUGCAAAGCUUAGAUUGCACAUGAAGGCGAUAGGGGUCAAGGAGGUCCCCGGAUAUAGCUGGGUUGACUUUGAUGGUAAGGUCCACAAGUUCCAUGUUGGAGACAACUGGCAUCCCCUCAUGGAUCAAAUAUACAAAAAGCUAGAUGAAUUAGGCAUGGAAAUGAAAGCCAUAGGUUACAAACCAACUACUGAUGAGGAGAAGGAGCAUCCUCUAGUUCAUCACAGCGUGAAACUCGCCGUUGCAUUUUGCCUUCUCACCACCAGUCCAGGGGAGGCCAUUAGGGUCAUCAAGAACACCAGGGUUUGCACCGACUGUCACACUGAUAUUAAACUUAUAUCGAGGAUAGCUCAUCGGGAGAUCAUUGUUCGGGAUAACAGCAGGUUUCAUUGUUUCAGAGAUGGCUGUUGCUCUUGUAAUGACUACUGGUAG